CUGGCUGAGCUGUUUGUAUUUGAAUGGGAGGAUUGUUGAUGUUACACUAAUGAGUCAUAACAAAAUCACACGCGCGAAUGGUCUUCCACUGAAUCAUUGUCUUCAUUCAUUGAAAAAGAAAUGACAACUGCUGAUGUGAGGCAAUAGUAUUUGGCAUGUUAACUUGGUGUUUUAGUUUUUUUUUUAAUUAUUAUUUCAAUACAAAUCUUGACUGGGGUUAAUGGGGAACAUACAGCUUUCUUAUUCUUGUGUAACUAUUUUUACAGAAAGAAUGUGCAAGUUUGCUUUCAUUCAAGAAAAAACAUUUUUUUGUGGGGUUGGGGGAUAAGCUCUGAAUUCUUCUAUAUUGAAGUGUUCUAUCU
Molecule: non-coding RNA, 362 nt
Organism: Pelobates cultripes (western spadefoot toad)
Lineage: Eukaryota; Metazoa; Chordata; Amphibia; Anura; Pelobatidae
Source: the annotation of a GenBank genome assembly